Molecule: ribosomal RNA, 328 nt
Filed under: uncultured eukaryote
Lineage: Eukaryota
Description: partial 18S ribosomal RNA
Rfam family: Eukaryotic small subunit ribosomal RNA
Source: RNAcentral
CCCUUAGAUGUUCUGGGCUGCACGCGCGCUACACUGAAGCGUUCAACGAGUAUUCACCUUGCCCGGGAGGGUUGGGUAAUCUUUUUAAAACGCUUCGUGAUGGGGAUAGAUUAUUGCAAUUAUUAAUCUUCAACGAGGAAUUCCUAGUAAGCGCGAGUCAUCAGCUCGUGCUGAUUACGUCCCUGCCCUUUGUACACACCGCCCGUCGCUCCUACCGAUUGAAUGGUCCGGUGAAGCGCUCGGACCGCGGCCUCUUGACGGUUUUCCGUCGAUUGGCUGUGGGAAGUUCGUUAAACCUUAUCAUUUAGAGGAAGGAGAAGUCGUAACA